RNAcentral lists this long non-coding RNA (601 nucleotides) under Spirodela polyrhiza (greater duckweed). Its description in RNAcentral is "long non-coding RNA (SPOL_LNC002178)". Lineage: Eukaryota; Viridiplantae; Streptophyta; Magnoliopsida; Alismatales; Araceae. The record is from RNAcentral.
CAGAGGCCGUUCUGAGCAACCUCUCCUUCCUCGAGCAGAAGAUCCACCAGGUGCAGCACGCCGUCCGCUCCAUCAUGUCCCCGGAGGAGCAAUCCGUCGCCGGCGGCACGCACGAACUGGCGAUGAAGCAGCAGCUCAUGGCGGCUGAUCUGACCUCCAUCAUCAUCCAGCUCAUCUCCACCGCCGGAACCCUACUCCCCUCCCUCACCGGGGGCUCCUCCAUCACCGGCUCCUCCGCCGGCCUUCUCAGCUCUCCCCCAGCCCUCGCCGGCUUCAACGCCGCCGCCGCCGCCGCCGCCGCCGGCGAACCGACCGCGGUGGAAGAUCAUCACGACGAGAAGGACGGCGAGGGGGAUGGCGACGGCGAGGGAGACGGCGACGGCGAGAGCCUCCUUGCCGGAACCUACGAAGUGCUGCAGCUGGAGAAGGAGGAAAUCUUGGCCCCCCACACCCACUUCUGCCUGAUCUGCGGCAAGGGUUUCAAGAGGGACGCCAACCUGAGGAUGCACAUGAGAGGCCACGGCGACGAGUACAAGACGCCGGCGGCGCUGGCCAAGCCGCCGGGGGCGGGGAAGGAGCAGAGCUCCGAGCAGGGCCCCCU